Non-coding RNA from Acanthosepion pharaonis, 112 nucleotides. The record is from the annotation of a GenBank genome assembly. Lineage: Eukaryota; Metazoa; Mollusca; Cephalopoda; Sepiida; Sepiidae.
UAUGACCACAUCAUGUUGAAACACUGGUUCCCAUAUGAUCAUCAAAGUUAAGCAAUGUUGAGCCUGGUCAGUACGUACAUGAGUGACUGCUUGGGAAUACCAGGUGUUGUAA